GACGAACGCUGGCGGCGUGCCUAAUACAUGCAAGUCGAACGAACCGCGACUAAGUGCUUGCACUAAGUCAAGGUGAGUGGCGAACGGGUGAGUAACACGUGGGUAACCUACCUCAUAGUGGGGGAUAACAGUCGGAAACGACUGCUAAUACCGCAUAGGACAUAGGAUCACAUGAUCCAGUGAGGAAAGGUGGCGCAAGCUAUCGCUAAGAGAUGGACCCGCGGUGCAUUAGCUAGUUGGUAGGGUAAAGGCCUACCAAGGCGAUGAUGCAUAGCCGACCUGAGAGGCUGAUCGGCCACAUUGGGACUGAGACACGGCCCAAACUCCUACGGGAGGCAGCAGUAGGGAAUCUUCCGCAAUGGGCGCAAGUCUGACGGAGCAACGCCGCGUGAGUGAAGAAGGUCUUCGGAUCGUAAAGCUCUGUUGUUAGAGAAGAACAGUGCAUAGAGUAACUGCUAUGCGUGUGACGGUAUCUAACCAGAAAGCCACGGCUAACUACGUG
RNAcentral lists this ribosomal RNA (502 nucleotides) under uncultured bacterium. RNAcentral describes it as "partial 16S ribosomal RNA". It matches the Rfam family "Bacterial small subunit ribosomal RNA", at positions 28 to 507 of the family's 1533-position model. The record is from RNAcentral.